This 559-nucleotide ribosomal RNA is filed under the name Tetratrichomonas gallinarum. RNAcentral describes it as "SSU rRNA". It matches the Rfam family "Eukaryotic small subunit ribosomal RNA", at positions 709 to 1308 of the family's 1831-position model. The record is from RNAcentral. Lineage: Eukaryota; Parabasalia; Trichomonadida; Trichomonadidae.
CGUAGUCUGAAUUGCCCAGCAAUGGCCUUGUGUAUAAUUACGUUCACUGUGAACAAAUCAGGACGCUUAGAGUAUGGUUACAGGAAUGACUCAGCGCAGUAUGAUAUCUUUGUUUUUUUCGGAAAACAAGCUCAAAGAGAGCCAUCGGGGGUAGAUCUAUCCCAUGACGAGUGGUGGAAUACGGUGACUCAUGGGAGAGAAUCGGAGGCGAAGGCGUCUACCUAGAGGGUUUCUGUCGAUCAAGGGCGAGAGUAGGAGUAUCCAACAGGAUUAGAGACCCUGGUAGUUCCUACUGUAAACGAUGCCGACAGGAGUUUGUCAUUUGCUAAUGGCAGAAUCUUUAGAGAAAUCAUAGUUCUUGGGCUCUGGGGGAACUACGACCGCAAGGCUGAAACUUGAAGGAAUUGACGGAAGGGCACACCAGGGGUGGAGCCUGUGGCUUAAUUUGAAUCAACACGGGGAAACUUACCAGGACCAGAUGUUUUUUAUGACUGACAGGCUUAAGGUCUUUCAGGAUAUGAUUUUUGGUGGUGCAUGGCCGUUGGUGGUGCGUGGGUUG